AUUGAACGCUGGCGGCAUGCCUUACACAUGCAAGUCGAGCGGCAGCGCGGGGGCAACCCUGGCGGCGAGCGGCGGACGGGUGAGUAAUACAUCGGAACGUGUCCUUUCGUGGGGGAGUAACCAGUCGAAAGACUGGCUAAUACCGCAUGAGAUCUCACGAUGAAAGCGAGGGAUCCGCAAGGACCUCGCGCGAUUGGAGCGGCCGAUGUCGGAUUAGCAGUUGGCGGGGUAAAGCCCACCAAGGCGACGAUCCGUAGCUGGUUUGAGAGAACGACCAGCCACACUGGGACUGAGACACGGCCCAGACUCCUACGGGAGGCAGCAGUGGGGAAUUUUGGACAAUGGGCGCAAGCCUGAUCCAGCCAUGCCGCGUGUGUGAAGAAGGCCUU
RNAcentral lists this ribosomal RNA (389 nucleotides) under uncultured bacterium. RNAcentral's name for it is "bacterial SSU rRNA". It matches the Rfam family "Bacterial small subunit ribosomal RNA", at positions 29 to 418 of the family's 1533-position model. The record is from RNAcentral.